GAUGAACGCUGGCGGCGUGCCUAAUACAUGCAAGUCGAGCGAACAGACGAGGAGCUUGCUCCUCUGACGUUAGCGGCGGACGGGUGAGUAACACGUGGAUAACCUACCUAUAAGACUGGGAUAACUUCGGGAAACCGGAGCUAAUACCGGAUAACAUGUUGAACCGCAUGGUUCAACAGUGAAAGACGGUCUUGCUGUCACUUAUAGAUGGAUCCGCGCCGCAUUAACUAGUUGGUAAGGUAACGGCUUACCAAGGCAACGAUGCGUAGCCGACCUGAGAGGGUGAUCGGCCACACUGGAACUGAGACACGGUCCAGACUCCUACGGGAGGCAGCAGUAGGGAAUCUUCCGCAAUGGGCGAAAGCCUGACGGAGCAACGCCGCGUGAGUGAAGGAGGUCUUCGGAUCGUAAAACUCUGUUAUUAGGGAAGAACAAAUGUGUAAGUAACUAUGCACGUCUUGACGGUACCUAAUCAGAAAGCCACGGCUAACUACGUG
This 497-nucleotide ribosomal RNA is filed under the name uncultured bacterium. Its description in RNAcentral is "partial 16S ribosomal RNA". It matches the Rfam family "Bacterial small subunit ribosomal RNA", at positions 28 to 507 of the family's 1533-position model. The record is from RNAcentral.